RNAcentral lists this ribosomal RNA (301 nucleotides) under uncultured bacterium. Its description in RNAcentral is "partial 16S ribosomal RNA". It matches the Rfam family "Bacterial small subunit ribosomal RNA", at positions 509 to 807 of the family's 1533-position model. The record is from RNAcentral.
CAGUCGCCGCGGGAAUACGUAGGGUGCAAGCGUUAAUCGGAAUUACUGGGCGUAAAGCGUGCGCAGGCGGUUCUAUAAGACAGAUGUGAAAUCCCCGGGCUCAACCUGGGAACUGCAUUUGUGACUGUAGAGCUGGAGUGCGGCAGAGGGGGAUGGAAUUCCGCGUGUAGCAGUGAAAUGCGUAGAUAUGCGGAGGAACACCGAUGGCGAAGGCAAUCCCCUGGGCCUGCACUGACGCUCAUGCACGAAAGCGUGGGGAGCAAACAGGAUUAGAUACCCGCGUAGUCCCUGUCUCUUAUAC